GACGAACGCUGGCGGCGUGCUUAACACAUGCAAGUCGAACGGUAAGGCCCUUCGGGGUACACGAGUGGCGAACGGGUGAGUAACACGUGGGUGAUCUGCCCUGCACUUCGGGAUAAGCCUGGGAAACUGGGUCUAAUACCGGAUAGGACCACUGCCUGCAUGGGUGGUGGUGGAAAGCUUUUGCGGUGUGGGAUGGGCCCGCGGCCUAUCAGCUGGUUGGUGGGGUGAUGGCCUACCAAGGCGACGACGGGUAGCCGGCCUGAGAGGGUGACCGGCCACACUGGGACUGAGAUACGGCCCAGACUCCUACGGGAGGCAGCAGUGGGGAAUAUUGCACAAUGGGCGCAAGCCUGAUGCAGCGACGCCACGUGAGGGAUGACGGCCUUCGGGUUGUAAACCUCUUUCAGCACCGACGAAGCGCAAGUGACGGUAGGUGCAGAAGAAGGACCGGCCAACUACGUGCCAGCAGCCGCGGUAA
Molecule: ribosomal RNA, 478 nt
Filed under: uncultured bacterium
Lineage: Bacteria
Description: partial 16S ribosomal RNA
Rfam family: Bacterial small subunit ribosomal RNA
Source: RNAcentral